AUGCAGAAUGCAUUGUUGAAGCUAUGGGCAAUGGUUGAAGAUGCCAAAAGUGCUAGGGUGAAUGACAAUCUUGAGAAUUCUUUCACUAUCCACCAUCUGACAGAAGAGAAGAACAAGCUGGAGGCCAACUAUGACAAGCUAGUCCAAGAUGUGCAUGAGCUGAUGAACUUCCAGGAAGAUAAGGUGGUGGAUUUCAGGCAUCUGCAGUCUGCCAUUAUAUAUCAGCAGGAGGUAAGAAAAGAACUGACUGAUGAUAUGAAGGCAAAGAUGGCAAAGAAAGAUGCAGAGACCCAGCAACUUACUCAGAAGUAUGAGGUGCUGCUCAACCUGACAAGAGCUCAAGCAACAGUCAUUCAGAACUUGAAGUUGAACAAAAUGAAAGAGAAGCAAGUGCUUACUGAAGCUAGUAUGAAUUUGGAGCUGAAGAAUGCAGAGCUAACUAAGUGUCAGGAGAAGCUCACCCAAGAGAAGCUAGAGUUGGAGCUUCAGGUUGCUGAUCUGCUUAAGGGAAAUAAAAAGCAUAUUGAAGAGAAGUGGCAGUUAGAGUUUCAGAAUGAAAAGUUGAAGGAGAAGUUCAGGGGGAUUCAAGCCAUCUUGGAGAAGUGA
Molecule: ribosomal RNA, 606 nt
Filed under: Triticum aestivum (bread wheat)
Lineage: Eukaryota; Viridiplantae; Streptophyta; Magnoliopsida; Poales; Poaceae
Description: partial small subunit ribosomal RNA
Source: RNAcentral